Schistosoma haematobium is the source of this 48-nucleotide non-coding RNA. Lineage: Eukaryota; Metazoa; Platyhelminthes; Trematoda; Strigeidida; Schistosomatidae. The record is from Rfam.
AUUUAGCUGAUGAGUCCCAAAUAGGACGAAACUCGCAUCAAACUAGAU